Molecule: ribosomal RNA, 800 nt
Filed under: Cordyceps cateniannulata
Lineage: Eukaryota; Fungi; Ascomycota; Sordariomycetes; Hypocreales; Cordycipitaceae
Description: eukaryotic LSU rRNA
Rfam family: Eukaryotic large subunit ribosomal RNA
Source: RNAcentral
AUUGCCCCAGUAACGGCGAGUGAAGCGGCAACAGCUCAAAUUUGAAAUCUGGCCCCCGGGUCCGAGUUGUAAUUUGCAGAGGAUGCUUUGGGCGAGGUGCCUUCCGAGUUCCCUGGAACGGGACGCCACAGAGGGUGAGAGCCCCGUCUGGUCGGACACCGAGCCCGUGUAAAGCUCCUUCGACGAGUCGAGUAGUUUGGGAAUGCUGCUCAAAAUGGGAGGUAUAUGUCUUCUAAAGCUAAAUAUUGGCCAGAGACCGAUAGCGCACAAGUAGAGUGAUCGAAAGAUGAAAAGCACUUUGAAAAGAGGGUUAAAAAGUACGUGAAAUUGUUGAAAGGGAAGCGCCUAUGACCAGACUUGGGCCCGGUGAAUCAUCCAGCGUUCUCGCUGGUGCACUUUGCCGGGCACAGGCCAGCAUCAGUUUGGCGCGGGGGACAAAGGCUUCGGGAAUGUGGCUCCCUCGGGAGUGUUAUAGCCCGCUGCGUAAUACCCUGCGCCGGACUGAGGUACGCGCAUCGCAAGGAUGCUGGCGUAAUGGUCAUCAGCGACCCGUCUUGAAACACGGACCAAGGAGUCGUCUUCGUAUGCGAGUGUUCGGGUGUCAAACCCCUACGCGGAAUGAAAGUGAACGCAGGUGAGAGCUUCGGCGCAUCAUCGACCGAUCCUGAUGUUCUCGGAUGGAUUUGAGUAAGAGCAUACGGGGCCGGACCCGAAAGAAGGUGAACUAUGCCUGUAUAGGGUGAAGCCAGAGGAAACUCUGGUGGAGGCUCGCAGCGGUUCUGACGUGCGAAUCGAUCGUC